Non-coding RNA from Brachypodium distachyon (stiff brome), 193 nucleotides. The record is from Rfam. NCBI's taxonomy places the organism in Eukaryota, Viridiplantae, Streptophyta, Magnoliopsida, Poales, Poaceae.
AAAGUACUCACUCCGUCCAACAAAUGAUGUCUCAAAUUUGACUAAAUUUGAAUGCAUCUAUACACUAAGUCAUCCAACAAAGGAUGUCUCAAUUUUGACUAAAUUUGAAUGCAUCUAUACACUGAGUCAUGUCUAGAUACAUCUAAAUUUUAACAAACUUGAGACAUCUUUUGUUGUACGGAGGAAGUAGUUA